Molecule: ribosomal RNA, 356 nt
Filed under: uncultured Rhodococcus sp.
Lineage: Bacteria; Bacillati; Actinomycetota; Actinomycetes; Mycobacteriales; Nocardiaceae
Description: bacterial SSU rRNA
Rfam family: Bacterial small subunit ribosomal RNA
Source: RNAcentral
AACCCUCUUUCAGCAGGGACGAAGCGCAAGUGACGGUACCUGCAGAAGAAGCACCGGCCAACUACGUGCCAGCAGCCGCGGUAAUACGUAGGGUGCGAGCGUUGUCCGGAAUUACUGGGCGUAAAGAGCUCGUAGGCGGUUUGUCGCGUCGUCUGUGAAAACCCGCAGCUCAACUGCGGGCUUGCAGGCGAUACGGGCAGACUUGAGUACUGCAGGGGAGACUGGAAUUCCUGGUGUAGCGGUGAAAUGCGCAGAUAUCAGGAGGAACACCGGUGGCGAAGGCGGGUCUCUGGGCAGUAACUGACGCUGAGGAGCGAAAGCGUGGGUAGCGAACAGGAUUAGAUACCCUGGUAGUC